Molecule: long non-coding RNA, 1015 nt
Organism: Betta splendens (Siamese fighting fish)
Lineage: Eukaryota; Metazoa; Chordata; Actinopteri; Anabantiformes; Osphronemidae
Exons: 3
Source: RefSeq, a predicted model, not a curated record
GAGCCAGUUUGAUUUAAAAGCAAAACAAUACCUAUGUUGUUGGUAUUUUAUUUUGAAACUUGCACAGUUUCCUGUAAUAAUCUGGCUGCGGGUGGGUGAUUUGACUGCUUUCAUUUUUAUCCUGGGUUAGGCGACGUCACUCUGGGUCGGUGUGAACGCUUCGGGGACAGUGUACUGUAGCUCACACGACACUGUUGAAGUGUUAAAUAUUCCAUAGCCUUUUAAUUGACACGUAAAUCAUGCUUCACGAGGGCUGAGAUAAGAUAUCUAUUAAUUCUAGCCAGAAUUUGACACUGGCCUAUAAAAAGCAGGGCAUUUCAUGAUUAGUUCAAGUUAACUUAAAGAAAAGCCGAGCCAGAUUAAUCUGAACGUGAGUGGAGCUUCGAUGAAUCAACUUGUUGGUGUUUUUGAGGCGCUGGGCUGGGCUUGUUGCUAAAAACUGUUCUGACACCGCCCCCUUCUGGAAAACCCACUGGCUUCAGUGGUAUCGGCAUGGAAAAAUCUCCAUCAGAUGCUGGAACACCCACCCGCUGCUUCCCACUAAGAAGUGGGUUUGAGCCAAAAGAAUAUAGAGAAAAGAAGCAACAUGAGAAUUAAAAGCAGACGUAUGGAACCAACUACUUUGUCCUGUGCCCUGAGGAAGCUCUGGUUCUGAAGCCUGGAGGAAGCUGGACAAUGGCGGGAUGUGAGAGGCGCCGUGCUCUCUCUCUCUCUCUCUCUCUCUCUCUCUCUCUCUCUCUCUCUCUCUCUCUCCCUCUCUCUCUCUCUCUCAGCCCCUCUCUGCUCCUGGAGCGCAACUGACUGUACAAGAUGUUCUCUCCGAGUCUGAAACUUCUCCACUCCCACACAAAGUGCCCAAUACAGAAGUUUACUAUUAAACAAUGACGUAUCAGUGAGCGGUUUGUGGCACGUUGUAUGAACUGAUGGUACAGUAUGCCAACAGAAGCAAAGAGCUUUGGAUUUGAAGAAAUAUAAAUAAUUGAAUAGAACAGGUCCAGUAAAUAAAUAACCCAGA